AAGUCGUAACAAGGUUUCCGUAGGUGAACCUGCGGAAGGAUCAUUAGUGAAAAUACCCUUUGCAUAUGGGUUGCUUCAACCUGUAUCCACCUUUGUGAAUUGUUUUUUUUGUUACGUAGCCUUAAAGAGCAAUCCUUAGGGCUAUUAACAAGCUUGAAAUUUUUGUUUGGCUGAAACUUUUGGUUUACAAAACAAAUCAAAUACAACUUUCAACAACGGAUCUCUUGGCUCCU
This 233-nucleotide unclassified non-coding RNA is filed under the name fungal sp. Its description in RNAcentral is "partial internal transcribed spacer region". The stretch from base 1 to 46 matches the Rfam family "Eukaryotic small subunit ribosomal RNA", at positions 1786 to 1831 of the family's 1831-position model. The record is from RNAcentral. Lineage: Eukaryota; Fungi.